AGACCGGUAGCUCAGAGGAAGAGCGGCUGCCUCUUAAGCAGUAGGUCGAGAUAUCGUAAUUCUCCCGGUCUACCA
RNAcentral lists this transfer RNA (75 nucleotides) under Richelia sp. RM2_1_2. RNAcentral describes it as "tRNA-Lys". It matches the Rfam family "tRNA". From Rfam's summary of the family: Transfer RNA (tRNA) molecules are approximately 80 nucleotides in length. Their secondary structure includes four short double-helical elements and three loops (D, anti-codon, and T loops). Lineage: Bacteria; Bacillati; Cyanobacteriota; Cyanophyceae; Nostocales; Nostocaceae. The record is from RNAcentral.